AAGCUGGUUGUAGAGGUGGCAGCUGAUCAAGCCAUGGGCAGGCGGGAUCCACUGCCUGAGUUGUAACUAGAGACUCCCCCGCAGUGUGGGGCUUGGCGAUGGGGCCACAGGCAGCAGGCAGCACCAGGCAGCCAGGCAAGCAGACAGCUGUGGCGGGCUCUGUGAGGAAGGGCAGGCCGUCCUCCCAAGAGGAGGAGCAGGUUGGCUGCAGGGCGUGAGUUGCUAGCAAUGAUUAAUUUAUUCCUUACUGGAUUUGUCAGGUGUCAGGGCCUAGGCACUGGCUGGGUGGCUGGGGAGGUGCCGAGGAUGAGAGGCUGCAGCAGGGGGGCUGGGUGACAGGGCCUCUGGGUGAGGCCCCUGGCCUGGAUGAGAUAAGGGGGCACCAAGCAGGAUGUCUUAACAGGAAGAAAACUCCCAUCAUAGCAGCCCUUAAGUGCACACGAAUCACCAGGGAUCUCUUUAAAAUGCAGAUUCACAUACGGCAGACCCAGGGUAGGGCAGGAGAGUCUGCAUUUCUAAAAAGUUCCCAGGUGAUGCCGAUGCUGCUGUUCCACGCCACACUUUGGCAGCAAGAUGAGGGAAAAGGGGAUUAAUUGUCAGCAUUCAGGGGAAGCUCACGACAUUCAAUAGCAGGAACUGGAAACCUGCAAGCUGUCAGCAGUGACAGCUUCUCUCUCUGGAGCCACAUGGUCUCUUGUCUGCACAUCUGCUCUCUUCUCCUCUCUAGCCUGGCUUCCUCUGCAAGCCUUUGUAACUUGGCUCGCCCUUGGCUGUCUUUACCACUGCCAGGACCCUGACCCCAACCUUAUGGCUCCAGCUCCUAACUCUGUCAGGCUAUAGUUUUUCUGGUCUCUUCUGACUUUUUUCUCUCUCAAGAUUCUGAUUGGCUCGGCUGGUCAGGUGUCCAUACUUGGUCCAAGAAGCUGUGCUAAGGGGCCAACAAGUAGGGCUGCUCAGGUGCUUUCAAUGGCGUCAUGGAACGCCCCCCCCCCCCCCCCCCCCCAUGGGUAGCCUCAGUCAGAUGGAUGGAGAGAAAUGCAGCCUUGAGGAACUGUUUUAAACACGUGUGAUCAGAAACUCUAGAAAAAAAGAAUUUCAGCAUAUAUUUUGGCUACUUUCCAAAAUGUGAGUUUAUUUGGAAUUAUUUCUAGAACUAGGUGGGUGGGCACCAAAAUCUUUUUCUUGUUUAAAGCCCUGGAAGGAGCGAGGGUUUGACAGGAGCCCCAAACAUGCCUCCAAGAGAAGAGGCCAGGGGGAGUGUCGCGAUGAAGGCCCUGUGGCUUGAGACAAAUGAGAAGAGAGGGAGAGAGCUGAGACGCGGGCUGUUCGCUUGGUGGUUCCUCAGUCGCCAGGGCAGCCUGACUGUGAAGGAGCUGCUGCAGCUCGCGGGAGCCCAGGAACAGUGACCCCGCCCUCGGAUCCCAGGUGCACGAGGCUGGCUGAGAUUUCAACGACAGUAGUCAGGUCUGCACAUGGGGAAAGGUCACGGCUCAUAAUAGCUUGGAUUGUUCAACCUAGACAUGUGCGGAUUAGGAAACAAGACGCAGAGAGACUCCGACCCGCUCAAGGUGAAAGUUCCACUUGGUGGCUGAGCCAGCCAAGGAUGCCUGCGUCCUGACAUCCAGCCCUGAGCUCUUCUGAAGAUGAGGGGACUCUUAAGAAUACACAAUACUUCCAGGCUUUUUGUUCCGACAGAAGUAAGUUUGCAAAGCAGUUGCGGAGGACUCUCUGAAGAAGGGCAAACAGUCCCCGAGGGGGUGGAGCUGCUGGCUCCAGGAGCUCUGUUGCCAGCAAGUAUUAAUUCACUCCGGCUGGCGCUGUCUUGGGGGCCUCCCGCGCACAAUAGCAUUAAGAGUGUUGGCAGCUGCGGAGGGAGAAGGCCCGCUCCACCUGGGAAUGAGGAAGAUGUGACUCCUCGCAAGGUUGCUCUCCUCCCAGCUCCCGCUCUUGGGAGAGAUGAUCAGUGCUUACGGGCCUGGGAGCAGGCUGCUGAGGACACAGUGUUCCCGGGGAUGGUGGCAGAUCUUGGAGAAGGGACAGAAGCUGGGCCAAGAGACUGGAACUUAUGCAAAUCAGGCCUGAGGAUGGUUCAAGGAGGGGGCAGCCCCUGCCUUAUGCCUCCCCGUCAGCAUACCCAGAACCAGACUCCUCAGGAGGAACAUCUUUUGUCUUCAAUGCUAAGCUUGUUCACGAGGAUGUGUGAUGUGGAUAAUAACACGUACCUCGUUAAUUAAAUGAGCAAUUACACACAAAAAACUUAAAAAGUUGCAGAGAAUGUGGGAAGGCCUCCAUCAAUUAUCAUUUUUCUCCAUGGAGCUCCAUUGAGAGACAUAAUGCACUGUAAAGUGCUUGGCUUUGGAGAAAGACAGAGCUGGGUUCCAAGUCCUGCCUCUGCCGUUGCCCUGCUGCAUAACUUUGGGCAAGAUGCUUAGCUUCUCAAUGCCCAAUUUUCUCAUCAACAAAAUGGAGCCACUGAUAUUUACAGCAUUAUCCCAAGGCAUAGAAAUGAUGCAUCCGAAGACCCUGACCCAUGGCGCUGGGAAAAUAGGUUUGGAGUUUGAUGAGCUGCCUGCUGCUGGCUCCUCUGUUUUCUGGCAUCAAGGUUCCUCAAUAGUGGACUCAACAGUUGCAUUUUUCACCUACAAAAGAAUUGCUAUCAGAAAACCAGACAGCGGAUAAUUGUAUUUUGUGAAUUGACAGUGAAGCCACUCGGUUUCAGCCCAGGUCCAAAGGCUGAGGAUGUUCACCCAGGAGAAAUGGUUUGUGCGAGAGAAUUCAUUUCUGAGUACUCAUUUUUACUGGAGGAAACAGGGUUGCUUGGAUUUUUUUUUUUUUUUUAUUCUUCUUCAACAUGUAGGCAGAAGGUUCAGAAUCCCUAACAGCUCUGGCGACCCCUGCUGUGUCAGUGUGAAUGCAAGAUGCCCAGUAAGACUGGAGGCUCCAGCUUCAACCAGAGCCUCAUCCAUCUCUUCAAACCUACCAGGGAAGGAAAUAAAAAUAUGUGCCCAUAAAUUUCCUCCUUGACGGGCAGCAAAUGCGCUGGCCUCCUGCCACCUGACAGUGAAACGUGAAGCUGGGGAGUGUCUCCCUGCAAGCGCACCUAGGGCUGCUCCUGCCCCCUUCUGGAGCAGGAUCAAAAUGCUUCCCAAGAAGUGCGCCAGCUGCCCUUGUGGGCCAGGCCCAGCCAUCCAAAGCUGCCGAAGAGCAACUUGGCUUCCUUUCCCUUCUCCCACUUGGACCACCAGGAUGCCUCUGCAGUUUUUUGGACUCCUGUUUUGACCAGUUAUCCCAAUUAACUUGAGCAAGAUAGAAGGAGAGACCUAUACCCCCCUCUUUGUCCGAGAAAAAAUGCACCAAGGGAGAGAGAAUGAAGACAAGCCUAUGAAUCUGUUCCCUGCACACAUCGAACUCAUUCCUAUCUCUGCGCAUGCUGUUCAACCCACUGGGAACACGCUUUCUUCUCCCAUCAGCACCCAUUUACCUAAAUUUUAUUCAUUCUUCAAGACUCCUUAAAUCCCGUCUGCUUCAUGAAGAUUUUUUAUCUGUGAGUUCACUCCCUCCACUGUCUCUUACUGUACCUACAAUCUGUCCCAGAGUUUAAUGUGACUAUAGACAUGAUUGUGUUUCUUCUCUCCUCCCUGCUUCCCUCCUGUGCCCUGCACAGUGCUGGUCCAUUAUAAGCUUCAAGAAAUGUUUGUUGAUUGACA
Molecule: long non-coding RNA, 3707 nt
Organism: Equus asinus (donkey)
Lineage: Eukaryota; Metazoa; Chordata; Mammalia; Perissodactyla; Equidae
Source: Ensembl